RNAcentral lists this ribosomal RNA (773 nucleotides) under uncultured Neocallimastigales. RNAcentral describes it as "partial large subunit ribosomal RNA". It matches the Rfam family "Eukaryotic large subunit ribosomal RNA", at positions 22 to 637 of the family's 3401-position model. Lineage: Eukaryota; Fungi; Neocallimastigomycota; Neocallimastigomycetes; Neocallimastigales. The record is from RNAcentral.
GUACACGCUGUGACUAGCAUAUCAAUAAGCGGAGGAAAAGAAACUAACAAGGAUUCCCCUAGUAACGGCGAGUGAAGCGGGAAGAGCUCAAAUUUGAAAUCUUAAAGGGUUUCCCUUUACGAAUUGUAGUUUAAAGAAGUGUUUUCUGUUGAGGUUUUGGUAAAAGUUCUUUGGAAUAGGACAUCAUAGAGGGUGAGAAUCCCGUAUUUGACCUUUACUUUCAACUUUGUGAUACACUUUCAAAGAGUCGGAUUGUUUGGGAAUGCAGUCCAAAAUGGGUGGUAAAUUUCAUCUAAAGCUAAAUAUUGGCGAGAGACCGAUAGCGAACAAGUACCGUGAGGGAAAGAUGAAAAGAACUUUGAAAAGAGAGUUAAACAGUACGUGAAAUUGUCAAAAGGGAAGCGUUUGACACCAGUGUUGUUUUUCUGAAAAUCAAUUAAAGAACUGUUUAUGCUAAGUUGUUUAGACUUUAUCAGCUAACUGUUUAGUUUUGAGCUUUUCUUUAAUGCACUUUUCAGUUAACAAGUCAACAUCAAUUUCUUUUGCUGUAAAAAAGCUUGAGGAAGGUGGCUUGAGAUUCGUCUUAAGUGUUUAUAGCCUCUUGCCUAUGCAGUCGGAGAGAUUGAGGUCUGCAGCGUAGAUCCUUCGGGGCUAAAUGCAUUUGUGCUAGUUAUAGCAUUUUAUAGACAACUUGUUGACUAUGAUUUGUCUUGUAGCUUACUCGCUUAUGUUAUUUUACCUACGCUUAGGAUGUUGACAGCAGUAUAGACUGU